This 138-nucleotide ribosomal RNA is filed under the name uncultured eukaryote. Its description in RNAcentral is "partial 18S ribosomal RNA". It matches the Rfam family "Eukaryotic small subunit ribosomal RNA", at positions 1299 to 1458 of the family's 1831-position model. The record is from RNAcentral.
UGGUGGAGUGAUUUGUCUGGUUAAUUCCGAUAACGAACGAGACCUUAACCUGCUAGAUAGUCCGGCCGGCUUUGGCUGGUCGCAGACUUCUUAGAGGGACUGUCAGCGUCUAGCUGACGGAAGUUUGAGGCAAUAACA